CCUCAUAUUGAUGUUGCUUUCCUUUAAAAGCCGUGCCAUCUGCCACCGCCCCCCUAAAGAUUUGGGUUUCAGCACACCAUGUGCAGCCAUAAAUCAGCAGUAAAAGAGAAGGAUUAGGGGGCUUCAGACCACAGUGUGAGAAUGCUAAAGUGCCGUGCGCAGCCAGCGCGGAGCCCGCGAUUAGAUCACUCCGCGUUUAUAUAUUCCUGGAUGAAUACGCUCCUCCAGGUGUAGCCGAAGUCGCUCCGCUCUUCGCCGCAGCGUCCACGGAUCAAAUAUGACGUCCUCCAGGGGCAAGAUGGCAGUACACCGUGACAGUUGUGCAAGUGGGAAGCCGGUGGUGAAGGAGAAGGCUGCUUUCAUCCUUGCAGCAACAGAUGGGGCUGUUUCAGCUGAACCAGAUCUAUCCACUCCUGAAAAGAGACCCCCCCCACCCC
Anguilla anguilla (European eel) is the source of this 437-nucleotide long non-coding RNA. RefSeq lists it as uncharacterized. The record is from RefSeq and is a predicted model, not a curated record. NCBI's taxonomy places the organism in Eukaryota, Metazoa, Chordata, Actinopteri, Anguilliformes, Anguillidae. The transcript is spliced from 3 exons.